AGAGCCAGUGAGGAGAGUACAAAUAAGGGAGGGAGGGAUGGGGUGUGCCAGUUUCAACCAAUUUUUUUUCAAGAAUCUCCUGCCUGCAGGAUGUUUUCCCCUCAGUCUUGCUGAGCUAUCAGCCUUCCUCAUCCACCAUCAGGCACCAGGAACGACCUUGUAAGAUCUGAAAGCUUAAAAGAUAAUCUGACUUUGGAAAUUUCAUCAUGCAGAAGGAGGAGGAAGAGGGAUCGGUAAGCUACAACACGUACAAGAAUUCCAUCUAAGACUACCAGAGCUGCCAUAGAGAAAAUACUUUGACGACUUGCCAUCCUAACAUGCCAGCUAAAGGUUAUAUGACAAUAAUGAUAAUAGACUAGACUGUUGUUAGCUUAACACAUUUCACAAAAUACAGAACAUUUCACACUAACUUUGCGAUGUCAUCUUUUCUUUUUUUCCUUUAAUGGAUAUCUCGAAAGUGAAAUGGUAUUGGAAAGCAAAAGCCGGCAUAAACCAAAUGCUCCUUUUGUCAUGCUGCGUGUUCAGAUGUUCUGACAUUAUCUCCUUUGAGCAAGAUCAAGGAAGGUAACGGAUCGGGCAUCCGUCUGAUUCUCUUUUCCUGGAGCUCCUGAAAACACACUGCCAACCAAUCUGAAUGUGUUAGAGAUUAUUCCAUAUUUUUUAUUUUAAAAACUUAAGUAAGUCCAUCAAUAGCCAUACUAAAACACACACUCACUAGGAUAAAAAACGUACUGUGCUUUCCCCCCCCCCUUUUAAAAUAAAAAAUCUACUAGGUUAAAAUUACA
Molecule: long non-coding RNA, 785 nt
Filed under: Pogona vitticeps (central bearded dragon)
Lineage: Eukaryota; Metazoa; Chordata; Lepidosauria; Squamata; Agamidae
Description: lncRNA (ENSPVIG00000018721.1)
Source: RNAcentral